Molecule: ribosomal RNA, 377 nt
Filed under: uncultured bacterium
Lineage: Bacteria
Description: bacterial SSU rRNA
Rfam family: Bacterial small subunit ribosomal RNA
Source: RNAcentral
UAAGACAGAGGUGCCGAGCGUUAGGCGGAAUCACUGGGCUUAAAGCGUGUGUAGGCGGGCCGUUAAGUGCCUUGUGAAAUCCCCCGGCUCAACCGGGGAACUGCUGGGCAUACUGGCGGCCUUGAGUCACUCAGGGGUCAGCGGAACAAACGGUGGAGCGGUGAAAUGCGUAGAUAUCGUUUGGAACGCCGACGGCGAAAGCAGCUGACUGGGAGUGAUCUGACGCUGAGACACGAAAGCCAGGGGAGCGAACGGGAUUAGAUACCCCGGUAGUCCUGGCCGUAAACGAUGUCGACUAGGUCGCGGGACCUCUGACGGUCUCGCGGCCGAAGCAAAAGUGCUAAGUCGACCGCCUGGGAAGUACGGUCGCAAGGCUA